Molecule: long non-coding RNA, 830 nt
Organism: Panicum virgatum (switchgrass)
Lineage: Eukaryota; Viridiplantae; Streptophyta; Magnoliopsida; Poales; Poaceae
Exons: 3
Source: RefSeq, a predicted model, not a curated record
CAUCGAUUGAGGUACCUGCAUGUGAAAACCUGCAGUGGGAUGCAAAAGAUUGAGUUACAAGCCCCAAACCUUGCUACAUUCAAGUUUCACGACUGUCCGAUGCCAAUCCGAUGCCAGUCGUACUCAAUGGAUGCUUGAAUAUAACAGAGGUGACUGUUGCACUUGUAGCAUCGUCUGAUUGUUUUAGUUAUGCCUUCACAGAGCUUCCUAGUGGUAUUCCUCAUGUGCAAAAACUCUCCAUGGAACUUGUUAUGGAGACCAAGAUGCAAGAUUAUACAAAAUGCCCUACCAUGUUCUUAAACCUGAGGCAUCUUGUCUUGACCAUGGAGAUUUUUAGACACUACGAGCAUACUGGUGGUAUACUUCGUCUUGCUUACCUUUUGGAGUUGGCUCCAGUUUUGGAACAACUGGAACUGCACAUGGAGUGGCACGGCAAGGGAGAAAUAGUCUUGUAACUUGAGGAAAUACUGCCACGGAGGCCGCACAAUCAUCUGAAGGCGCUUCACAUUACAGGAGCGUACAGCUACCAGAGUCUGCUUGAUCUAGCACUGUAUAUUGCUCGUAAUGCAACAGCACUGGAGUGCAUGGUCAUUGAUCCAAUGGUGAAAAAUAACUAUGUUCUCAGCCAUCAUGAGGAAGAACAGCAUGCAGUCAAUUGGGGCCGGCAGAUGGCUAAACAACACCUGAAGUGACGGGGGUUUGAUGGCAUCCUUACUAUAUUGUAAUAAUAAUGAUGAGGCAAAAUUUCAGAAUAAUAAGUGUUCUUUUAGCAAAUUUCAGACACAUCAUGAGAAAUGAUAAUGUUACCGUUCAAUAUAGUGCUUGUGGUU